RNAcentral lists this ribosomal RNA (980 nucleotides) under Echinococcus vogeli. RNAcentral's name for it is "large subunit rRNA". The stretch from base 655 to 938 matches the Rfam family "Bacterial large subunit ribosomal RNA", at positions 2074 to 2646 of the family's 2925-position model. The record is from RNAcentral. Lineage: Eukaryota; Metazoa; Platyhelminthes; Cestoda; Cyclophyllidea; Taeniidae.
GGUUGUUUAGCUGUGAGGUUGGUUGUUUUGGUUUAUUUGCCUUUUGCAUCAUGCUUGACGGAAUUUUUUAAAGUAUGUUUUUGUACCGAAAAGUUUUGAUUUUGAGUUUAAUUGUUUGGGAUUUUUGUGAGGCCUGGGUAAGGUUUUGUAAAUUAAAUUUAUGGUGUGAUAAGUAAGUCGUAUAACUUUAUAGCUGUUUAGUUGUUGAUUGUUUAGUAUUAUAUAUGUGGCGAUUAGGUCGUUUAUAUUUUUAUACAUUUGGUUUUUAUAUGUGUUGUUUGAUGAGGUUAGAGGUACCUAGUCUUUAUUAGAUUGUUGUAAAUAUGGUUUAUUGGUUUGGUUAUGUGUUAAUCGUUUUUGACAACUAUUUUAUUAUAUUUGGUUAUUGUAUUAUCGUUGAAUUAGUAAUUUUAUUAUGCUAUUUUUUUCUUGAGUUCUUUCCGUCUGUUUAUUAAAAACAUUUCUAACUUGAAUUAUAGUUGGUAGUGCCUGCCCAAUGUUGGUUUAUCAAUGGCCGCAGUAUAUUGACUGUGCGAAGGUAGCAUAAUUAAUUGCCUUUUAAUUGGAGGCUUGUUUGAAUGGUUUGACGUGAUUGGUAUGAAGAUUUAGUAUUUAGUUGAAAUUGAUUUUGAGGGUUUAGAAUCCUUGAUGGUUAAUAAGACGGAAAGACCCUAGGAUCUUUUGUUUUUGUUUGGGGCAAAUUUUGGUGUUUUAUGAAGAUUGUGACCCUGGAUAGUGAUUGGUUUAUUGGGUUAAGUUACCCUAGGGAUAACAGUGUGAUGAUUAAUUAGAGGUCUUAUCGAAUUAAUUGUUUGCCACCUCGAUGUUGACUUAGGUUUAGGUUCCGGUGUAGUAGUUGGGAUUUUUGGUCUGUUCGACCUUUUAGCCUCCAUGAGUUGAGUUAAGACCGGCGUGAGCCAGGUCGGUUCUUAUCUAUUGUAGAAGUUUAUCAGUACGAAAGGACAGUAAAUUUUUUUGUU